AGAGUUUGAUCCUGGCUCAGGAUGAACGCUGGCGGCAUGCCUAAUGCAUGCAAGUCGAACGAGAGACCUUCGGGUCUCUAGUGGCGAACGGGUGAGUAACACGUAGGGAACCUGCCCGCGCACCGGGAAUACGCUCUGGAAACGGAGAACAAAUCCCGAUGUACAGGAAGGAGGCAUCUUCUUUCUGUGAAACAUCCUUUAGGGGAUGGGGCGCGGAUGGACCUGCGGUGCAUUAGUUUGUUGGCGGGGUAAAGGCCCACCAAGACGAUGAUGCAUAGCCGGCCUGAGAGGGCGGACGGCCACAUUGGGACUGAGACACGGCCCAGACUCCUGCGGGAGGCAGCAGUAGGGAAUUUUCGUCAAUGGGCGCAAGCCUGAACGAGCGAUGCCGCGUGAGUGAAGAAGGCCUUCGGGUCGUAAAGCUCUGUUGCGGGGGAAAAAAGGCAGCAUCAGGAAAUGGGUGCUGACUGAUGGUGCCCCGCCAGAAAGUCACGGCUAACUACGUGCCAGCAGCCGCGGUAAUACGUAUGGGGCAAGCGUUAUCCGGAUUUACUGGGUGUAAAGGGAGCGCAGGCGGCCCUGCAAGUCUGAUGUGAAACCCUAAGCUCAACUCCUGGAUUGCUUUGGAAACUGGAGGGCUGGAGUGCCGGAGAGGGUAGCGGAAUUCCUAGUGUAGCGGUGAAAUGCGUAGAUAUUUGGAAGAACACCAGUGGCGAAGGCGGCCGCGUGACCUGUUGCUGACGCUGAGGCGCGAAAGCGUCGGGGAGCAAAUAGGAUUAGAUACCGUACUAGUCCACGCCGUAAACGAUGAGGUCCAAGUGUUGGGGGUGACACGUCACUGCAGCAGUUAACAGCAGUGUAGUCCUCCUCGGGGAGGAGUAUGCACAGCAAGUGUGCUCAUACAAAAGAAUCGGCGGGCGCCCCCACCAGCGGUGCAGUAUGUGUUAUUAUUAGCAGCGAGAAGAACAUCCUCAGCCGUCCUCAUCAGGCGGUCCGGGGGUGCAGCGCUCCCUUCGUGGUCGACGUCCGCGCCGGUUGGUCCAUGGUGUUGUUCACUUGGGUUCUUGAAAGGUUGGUCAAAUUCCCCCACGGGGCCCACCCCCUUCCCACAGUAGCCACCAGGUAAAGAGGGGGACUAUGCCGGGCCUCCGGGGGCCAACCCGGAGGAGGGGGGGGAGGACGUCAAUUCUUCAUCCCCCUUAUGCCUUGGGUUCCCCCCUUGUUCCAAGGGGGCAACAGAGGGCGGCGAAGCAGCGAGGUGGAGCGAACCCCAGAAAAGCCGUCUCAGUUCGGAUUGCAGUCUGCAACUCGCCUCCACGAAGCUGGAAUCGCUAGUAAUCGCGGAUCAGCAUGCCGCGGUGAAUACGUUCCCGGGUCUUGCACUCACCGCCCGUCAA
This 1397-nucleotide ribosomal RNA is filed under the name uncultured bacterium. RNAcentral describes it as "partial 16S ribosomal RNA". It matches the Rfam family "Bacterial small subunit ribosomal RNA". The record is from RNAcentral.